Long non-coding RNA from Daphnia pulicaria, 452 nucleotides. RefSeq lists it as uncharacterized. Lineage: Eukaryota; Metazoa; Arthropoda; Branchiopoda; Diplostraca; Daphniidae. The record is from RefSeq and is a predicted model, not a curated record. The transcript has 3 exons.
ACUUUGUGGAGGCGUUAUUUACAUUCACUUCACAAGGCUCAAUAAUGUGUGCACAUCAUGAAAUCAAUAUGUAUUGAUCAUGUGUUUGAAACUCAGAUAAGGUUGCAGUGAAAUCAUUUCAAAAAGGCCGACUGUCCUUCAAAUGGUUCGAAAUGGAAUUUAUUCAUUCACCGAAGGAAAGGAAAUAAAGUGUCAAAGUGAGUUUUUCAGCCAUACCAUAACCAUUUAGUAUUCAUUUUUAUAUUGGUUGUUGUAGACCCAUUCCAAUCCCCAGCAACGUUAACCUGCAGAAGGAAAGGGCAGUUUACAUGUGCUUCACACUCGAAGGUCACAGAGAUUAUUACGUAAAAGACCCAUCCCCAGCAAAGUCAACCUGCAAAAGGAAGGGAGCGUCCGCAUGUCCUUCACACUAGUAGACCCACCCCCAGCAACCUGCAGAAGGAAAGGCCAGU